CCUGGCUCUUAUGCAAAUGUUUUACAGGCCAGAAAGAUGGUGUCAGAUCCUCUGGAGCUGGAGUUACACAGACUCUUGUGAACAACCUUGACAUGGGUGCUGGGAAUAGAACUCAGGUUCUUUGGGAGAACAGCAAAUGCCUCAUGUCCCUUUAAUAAUAAUUGUUUGUAAACUGAUUUAAUUUUUAAAAGAAGAUUUAUUUAUUCAUUUUAUGUAUGUGGGUACUCUGUAGCUGUAUAGAUGGUUGAGAGCCUUCAUGUGGUUGUUGGGAAUUGAAUUUUAGGACCUCUGCUUGCUCCGGUCAACUCCACUCGUUCAGUCCCUGCUUGCUCCAGCCCAAAGAUUUGUUUAUUAUUAUACAUAAGUACACUGUAACUGACUUCAGACAUACCAUAAGAGGGUGUCAAAUCUCAUUACAGAUGGUUGUGAGCCACCAUGUGGUUGCUGGGAUUUGAACCCAGGACCUUUGGAAGAGCAGUCAGUGCUCUUACCCGCUGAGCCAUCUCACCAGCUCCUGAUUUAAUUUUUUUAAUGAGUGUGUUUGCAAGUUGAAGGUUGAUCUUUAGUAUCCAUAUUAAGUGCAUCUAACAAAGCAUAUCUGAGUUUUGAAUUGUGGUAAUUUUUGGAUCUUCCUUAGUCUAGAUGGCAUGAUGGCUGC
This 658-nucleotide long non-coding RNA is filed under the name Mus musculus (house mouse). RNAcentral describes it as "long non-coding RNA chr11:72630672-72631330". Lineage: Eukaryota; Metazoa; Chordata; Mammalia; Rodentia; Muridae. The record is from RNAcentral.